UGUCAGAUCAGAGCAGGAUGUGGACUAACAGUGUGUUUGUGACUUCUAUAGCUGUAGCAAACACUGAGGUACAGGAGCAAAUGAUUCCUAAAGCCUAAAUGACAAACUACCCUGCACACAUGGUGCCGAAAGCCAGGAUGGGGGUACGGCUGACUCUGGACGGGGCCAGCGAGGGAAGCAGCUGGCCCAAAUGGUGGCCGAUCUGGCGGCCACACAGCGGGAGCAUGCGGUGGUGUCACAAAGUCAGCAGGGAGAACUUUGCUCUGUCUGUUGUUGGUGAUGUGUGCGGCUGGCAGCUGUAGAGCUGCAGUGGUUUUUGUGUUUUUAACAGCAACCUUGUGCAGAAUAAAGAGCUGCUGAAAAGCUGUCAGUCUGGCAGAGGCAGACUGUAUGGAGUUACGAAAAGGACCCAAAAUACAGACACAAAGACGGUGGAAGAAAACUUGAAUAUUAAGAAAAAGCAAGCCGUCUAAUAUGCUGAUUUU
Long non-coding RNA from Oreochromis aureus, 485 nucleotides. RefSeq lists it as uncharacterized. Lineage: Eukaryota; Metazoa; Chordata; Actinopteri; Cichliformes; Cichlidae. The transcript is spliced from 2 exons. The record is from RefSeq and is a predicted model, not a curated record.